CCAAAAUCUACAGUACUACAGUACUCAGCCGCAACUGCUUUAAUCACAAACUACAAUGGAUGUGAAACAAAUCAACGAGACCAGGCAAACGAAAAAAAACAAAACCAAAUAAGUUACCAAGCACCGCUGUGCAUUGUGGUUAAAAAAAAAAAAAAGUCCAGACACAAAUGUGACCUUUGUUAGUGAUCUCAGCCACCACCGAACAGCUACUGCUAAUGUAGGACCUGGGGAAAUCGUGUAUGUGUGUGUCAGCCAUACAGGCACAACAUUUACACACACUGGUUACAUCAAAGCUGCGACUCCCACAUUAGAGGUCAGGAAACUGAAUUACAACUUAGAGAAGGCCGAGGGAGGCUCUGCUGUAGAUGUGAACGCACAUGGACUCCAGGCCCGGCAGCAUGUGUCGGCUCUUUUCUCACAUACACACAUGCUUCCAAUCCAACCCACCGCCCCGUCUCCCUGAUGUUGUGUGAGAUUAUCACAGCGGCAUCUGAAUUUACUUAAGACGAACGCCCAUAAAACUUCAAAUGCGGAGGUCUGUGGGGCCCACUCCGUCCCCCUCUACUCCUGAGGGGUUUGUGGGAGAAAAAUCAUGUUGUUUUCAACAUUUUCAAGGUACAUUGCAGGUAUUCAUUUAAUAACAUCUAUUCUACUUUUUUUUUUGUGCCUUAAUUACCAAACCAGACCAGUGUUAUUUUUGUUGUAAUUUUCAUCAAAGGAAAUUGUGUAGGCCUAAAUAAUGAUGUUAGUUAACCAGUAACAACAUGAUGAAAAAAUCUGAUGAAGUCCAAUCAGAUCCAAUCAUUGAGGCUGAGAGCCAAUCAGAGCUAUGUUUGAAAUACAAUUUGUUGCCAACAGUUUAAUACUACUGUAGGAAUACUAUAAUAUAAAACUGUAUAAUUUGUUGUUAGAUAAUAUACUGUUAAUACAAUGCUAAUUAGAAUGAAUAAAAUAUAUAAAUGAAUUAUAUUAGUUAAAAUAAUUUCUGAUAAAAACAGUUCUCUAUAUAACAGUAUUCUGCAGUACUUCGUGUGACCUUUUUUUCCACAUAGUUGCCAUGUGACCUAUUUCCUUCUCGACCCUCUAACUGUCCAAUUACAAGGCAGACAAUGAUGGAUGUAUAAGACAAAAAUGUGACAGAUUGUGUUAUUAGACUGUUAGCACAGAGGUCAUGUGAUGAAGUGACCAGUGUACAGUAAUGAGCUGAAGGCACGUUGGAACUGAUGCAUCGUUUUCUGUACCAUUACAGGCAGUCAACAUAAGGGUCGCCGCCUUCGCCCACUCACCUCGCCGUGGAGCAGCUCUCUCCUGCGACCCUGCGGCUCAGCUGGAUCAACGAGAGGGAAAAACAAGAACAUCCCUGGCGGUCCGAGCCUCCUCAAAACUCUGCCUGUUUUCUGAGGCCACCAGGGCCUUCAGCUCCUCAGCUCUGGACACAUACUGGCUGACCUGGGAAAAGACGUCGACUCAAUCACCUCAACCACACCACGUGCUCUCCAGCCACACCAAUUACCUUCUGCCUCAGCGUUUCUUUACGUUGUCGAUCUACCUCAUCUGCAAGAAGGUAAAGAAGAAAAAAAACUUGUGAAUCGCUGGGACAAAGUGCUCUACGGCAGCGCAGUACAGUGAGAGAGCAGCCGACCGCUCUCCUUCCUGAUCUUUCUGAACGGCCUGAAGAACCAACUCUUUCUGAAAGGGAACAUUGGAGCUGGCUUUCUGCACUGGGCAUGUGCUCCAAAUCCACAAAAGGGUGAGCAAAGAAUUCCUUAAAGGUGAUCCGAACAUCUGGAUUUCUCUCCAGCAGCCGCAGCAGAAGGUCCCUGCAGUCCUUGGAAACCCUGGCCCCAGGA
This is a long non-coding RNA of Cynoglossus semilaevis (tongue sole), 1850 nucleotides long. RefSeq lists it as uncharacterized. The transcript is spliced from 5 exons. The record is from RefSeq and is a predicted model, not a curated record. Lineage: Eukaryota; Metazoa; Chordata; Actinopteri; Pleuronectiformes; Cynoglossidae.